This 219-nucleotide ribosomal RNA is filed under the name uncultured bacterium. Its description in RNAcentral is "partial 16S ribosomal RNA". It matches the Rfam family "Bacterial small subunit ribosomal RNA", at positions 104 to 334 of the family's 1533-position model. The record is from RNAcentral.
CGGGGUGAGUAACGCGUAGGAACCUAUCGCACAGUGGGGGAUAACACGGGGAAACCGGUGCUAAUACCGCAUGUGGUCAGCGAUGAAGAAAGCAGCAAUGCGCUGUGUGAGGGGCCUGCGUCCGAUUAGCUGGUUGGUGGGGUAACGGCCUACCAAGGCGACGAUCGGUAGCUGGUCUGAGAGGAUGGUCAGCCACACUGGGACUGAGAUACGGCCCAG